CGAACGAUGAAGCCCCUUCGGGGGUGGAUUAGUGGCGAACGGGUGAGUAACACGUGGGCAAUCUGCCCUGCACUCUGGGACAAGCCCUGGAAACGGGGUCUAAUACCGGAUACGACCAUCUGAGGCAUCUCAUGGUGGUGGAAAGCUCCGGCGGUGCAGGAUGAGCCCGCGGCCUAUCAGCUUGUUGGUGAGGUAACGGCUCACCAAGGCGACGACGGGUAGCCGGCCUGAGAGGGCGACCGGCCACACUGGGACUGAGACACGGCCCAGACUCCUACGGGAGGCAGCAGUGGGGAAUAUUGCACAAUGGGCGCAAGCCUGAUGCAGCGACGCCGCGUGAGGGAUGACGGCCUUCGGGUUGUAAACCUCUUUCAGCAGGGAAGAAGCGUAAGUGACGGUACCUGCAGAAGAAGCGCCGGCUAACUACGUGCCAGCAGCCG
This 440-nucleotide ribosomal RNA is filed under the name Streptomyces sp. EYN-8-1. RNAcentral's name for it is "bacterial SSU rRNA". It matches the Rfam family "Bacterial small subunit ribosomal RNA", at positions 63 to 517 of the family's 1533-position model. The record is from RNAcentral. Lineage: Bacteria; Bacillati; Actinomycetota; Actinomycetes; Kitasatosporales; Streptomycetaceae.